AUUGAACGCUGGCGGCAGGCCUAACACAUGCAAGUCGAGCGGAGCGGCGGACGGGUGAGUAAUUCCUAGGAAUCUGCCCGGUAGUUGGGGCUAACGUCCGGAAACGGGCGCUAAUACCGCACACUAACAGAUGAUCCUAGGUUGGAUUUGCUAGUUGGAUGGGUAAAUGCCUACCAAGGCGACGAUCCGUAACUGGUCUGAGAGGAUGAUCAGUCACACUGGAAAUUAGACACGGUCCAGACUCCUACGGGAGGCAGCAGUGGGGAAUAUUGGACAAUGGGCGAAAGCCUGAUCCAGCCAUGCCGCGUGUGUGAAGAAGGUCUUCGGAUUGUAAAGCACUGUAAGUUGGGAGGCGUUACCAACAGAAUAAGCACCGGCUAACUUCGUGCCAGCAGCCGCGGUAAUAC
This 407-nucleotide ribosomal RNA is filed under the name uncultured bacterium. RNAcentral's name for it is "partial 16S ribosomal RNA". It matches the Rfam family "Bacterial small subunit ribosomal RNA", at positions 30 to 526 of the family's 1533-position model. The record is from RNAcentral.